Molecule: ribosomal RNA, 447 nt
Filed under: Triticum aestivum (bread wheat)
Lineage: Eukaryota; Viridiplantae; Streptophyta; Magnoliopsida; Poales; Poaceae
Description: partial small subunit ribosomal RNA
Source: RNAcentral
AUGGCAUCCGCCGCUAGCUACACCGCCACGCCCGACCUCAACCUGAAAGCGCAAGCGCCUACGGUGAGCGAGAUCGCGCAGUCUCUCUUCCCAGGGGCCUCCCAAACGAAGGCGCAGCUCGCAAGCUCUCUCUGUGCAGUGGGUUCUGCCACGUUCGUCUUCGGCAUGAGCACCGCUUUCCACCCGCCGCAGGCCGGACCAAUCUUCGGCCCGGUCUUCCACUACCUCAUCCUCGCCGUGGUCGUCGCCACCGCUGCCGUUGAGAUGGCGACCGCCAUCUUUCUGGACAUCCCCGCCCUCUCCGACAAUCCGCGCCUCCACACCUCCGCGAGGCGUCUGCUGCCGUUCGCGUACCUUGUGCUCCGUCCAUGGAUAGUGUUUUCUGUAAAGCAUGACUGGGGGAAGAUAUCGGGUGCUCCGGGAGCUUCUGAGCCGUUGGAUCUAUAA